GACGAACGCUGGCGGCGUGCCUAAUACAUGCAAGUAGAACGCUGAAGGAGGAGCUUGCUCUUCUGGAUGAGUUGCGAACGGGUGAGUAACGCGUAGGUAACCUGCCUGGUAGCGGGGGAUAACUAUUGGAAACGAUAGCUAAUACCGCAUAAGAGUAGAUGUUGCAUGACAUUUACUUAAAAGGUGCAAUUGCAUCACUACCAGAUGGACCUGCGUUGUAUUAGCUAGUUGGUGGGGUAACGGCUUACCAAGGCGACGAUACAUAGCCGACCUGAGAGGGUGAUCGGCCACGCUGGGACUGAGACACGGCCCAGACUCCUACGGGAGGCAGCAGUAGGGAAUCUUCGGCAAUGGACGGAAGUCUGACCGAGCAACGCCGCGUGAGUGAAGGAGGUUGUCGGAUCGUGAAGCUCUGUUGUGAGAGAAGAUCGAGUGUGAGAGUGGAAAGUUCACACUGUGACGGUAUCUUACCAGAAAGGGACGGCUAACUACGUG
This 495-nucleotide ribosomal RNA is filed under the name uncultured bacterium. Its description in RNAcentral is "partial 16S ribosomal RNA". It matches the Rfam family "Bacterial small subunit ribosomal RNA", at positions 28 to 507 of the family's 1533-position model. The record is from RNAcentral.